This 1495-nucleotide ribosomal RNA is filed under the name uncultured marine eukaryote. RNAcentral describes it as "SSU rRNA". It matches the Rfam family "Eukaryotic small subunit ribosomal RNA", at positions 82 to 1674 of the family's 1831-position model. The record is from RNAcentral.
UGAAUCUGCGAAUGGCUCAUUAAACAGUUAUAGUAUACUUGAUGAUGUUUUUUAUAUGGAUAACCGUUGGGAAACCAGAGCUAAUACAUGCACCAAAAGCCUUCGGGCUGUAUUUAUUAGUUAUUGACCAACACCUUCGGGUUUUGUGAUGAUUCAUAAUAACUGAUCGAAGCGUAUUUGUAUACGCUAAAUCUUUCUAGUUUCUGCUCUAUCAGCUUGAUGGUAGUGUAUUGGACUACCAUGGCUUUCACGGGUAACGGAGAAUUAGAGUUCGAUUCCGGAGAGGGAGCCUGAGAAACGGCUACCACAUCUACGGUAGGCAGCAGGCGCGUAGAUUACCCAAUCUUGACUUAGGGAGGUAGUUACAAGAAAUAUAGUAAUUGCUUUUGCAAUGUCUAAAUGAUCUAAACAUAAACCGUUUUUCGAAUGCGAUUGGAGGGCAAGUCUGGUGCCAGCAGCCGCGGUAAUUCCAGCUCCAAUAGUGUAUCUUAAUGUUGUUGCUGUUAAAAAGCUCGUAGUUGAAUUUCUGGCAUCCUAGCUUGGCUCCGGCUCGGCAGGGGUGUCAUCCGCUCUGAAAGCUCGUACGCCUAACAGCUGCAGGUCGAAGGAGUAUUUUACUUUGAAGAAAUUAGAGUGUUCCAGGCAAGCAAUGCUUGAAUAUUACAGCAUGGAAUAAUGGAAUAGGACUAUGCAUUUCGUUGGUUAAUGCAUUAGUAAUGAUUAACAGGGACAGUUGGGGGCAUUCGUACUGGGCAGUUAGUGGUAAAAUACGUUGACCUGCUCAAGACGCACUAAUGCGAAAGCAUUUGCCAAGGAUGUUUUCAUUAAUCAAGAACGAAAGUUAGGGGAUCAAAGACGAUUAGAUACCGUUGUAGUCCUAACUAUAAACUAUACCGACUAGGGAUUGGCAGGGGGAUGUCCCCUGUCAGCACCUAAUGAGAAAUCAAAGUCUUUGGGUUCAGGGGGGAGUAUGGUCGCAAGGCUGAAACUUAAAGGAAUUGACGGAAGGGCACCACCAGGAGUGGAGCCUGCGGCUUAAUUUGACUCAACGCGGGGAAACUUACCAGGGCCAGACCUUAGUAUGAUUGACAGAUUGAUAGCUUUUUCUUGAUUUGAGGGAAGGUGGUGCAUGGCCGUUCUUAGUUGGUGGAGUGAUUUGUCAGGUUAAUUCCCUUAACAAACGAGACCUUAACCUGCUAAAUAGUCGCCCUACUUUAGUGGGGUUGGCUUCUUAGAGGGACUAUGUACUUAAAUACAUGGAAGUUUGAGGCAAUAACAGGUCCGUGAUGCCCUUAGACGUCCUGGGCCGCACGUGUGCUACACUGACUCGCGCAACGAGUGCUUACCUGAUCCGAAAGGCAAUUGGGAAACCUUGUUAAUACGAGUCGUGCUAGGGAUUGAUCUUUGCAAUUAUGGAUCAUGAACGAGGAAUUCCUAGUAAGCAUAAGUCAUCAUCUUGUGCUGAUUACGUCCCUGCCCCUUGUACACACCGCCC